Ochotona curzoniae (black-lipped pika) is the source of this 108-nucleotide small nuclear RNA. Lineage: Eukaryota; Metazoa; Chordata; Mammalia; Lagomorpha; Ochotonidae. The record is from RefSeq and is a predicted model, not a curated record.
GUGCCUGCAUUGGCAGUAUAUAUACUAAAAUUGGAACCAUACAGACAAAAUUAGCAUGGUCCCCGCCCAAGAAAGACAAGAAUUGAAUGCUCUCUCUUGCAUGUUAGU